AAACUGGGUGACAUCAAGACUCUGUCUCAAAAAAGGAAAUAUAAUGCAAGCCGCUUAUAUGAUUUGUGGUUUUCUAAUUAUAGCUGCAUUAAAAAAGAGCUCCCUCUUUGCCCACUAGCAGGGCAUUAGCUGGUGCUGAAGACAGUGGCUGCUUGGCGAGCCUGGAUCUCCAAGUGACCCCCUCAGCAACUCCUGAUGAACAGGACUGAAGCCAAUAUUAAAGCAAGUCAACCAAAGGUUCUCUGGUGUAGACAAGACAGCAAAAGGACAGACUACCUUGUGGAACCUAGCAUUGUUCUCCUUCUGCAGCACUAAGUAACAUUUGUUCUCCGUUAAGAUCUUUGCAAACCACACACAAGAAUUGCUGGUCAUCCUGCCAAUAGAUGCUGCUCACAGAACCAAAUUUCCUGUGCUGAAUUGUCACUCAUGGGCUUGAGAGUAGGAGACUGGAGACCAAGGUGGCUAGAAUCCAGUUGGGCCUGAUGUCUCCCUGUUGAAAGGGCUCCUUGUGGAAUGAAUAGCACAUGGCUCCUGUGGUGGAUCUGAUAGUGGCAUAGCACCAAGUGAUGCAGGCCUGCCAGGGGCCACAGACACAGAAGAUGCUCCCGGGGUCCCCCAUGUACUCCAGACACACUGCAGGCCACCUCUCCCAGCAGGUUGCCAGUCAUGGGCCCCAUCAUCAUGACUUCUGUCCAAGGUACUGUGUGCAGAAAUGUGAUUGAGAUUCAAGUCAGGGCCUCUCUGCCCUUUUCCCUCCAGAAACAAAACCAAGAUAAUUUAUCCUGAACACGGUGAAAAAAGGAAGGGAGGGAGGAGAAAAAGUCCGGGUCUCACCUGGGAUUCUCUGUCUCCUGCAACAUGAAGGAUUUAGCCUGGGAGGAGGUGGUGAGAACUCUGGGAGAGAAAAAAGAAGGAAAGAAUAGUUUUACCCAUGCUGAAGUUAAUUUAAACCUUCACCUAGAGAAGCAAAAAAAAAAAACCCACACUUUCCCAUUUUGUGCCUCCCUUCCUAGAGUUUUAGCCAAAGGUUUAGCUAAGUAAUUGGUUUUACCAGCGCACUCACUCCUCCUAUCCCAAGUCUGUUUGACUCCCUCCCCAUCAUCCUCCUCACCUCUUUUCAGGCAGGGUGGGGAUAGCAGCAGGAGGAGAUUUUGGGAGCCUGGCAACUCCUGCAAGGACCGCAGGACAGCCCCUCUGUGGGGAUGCGUGGUGCCCCAUCUGCCGCCCUUCUGAAGAAUGCACUGCCUUCACUUUUUACUGUGUUAGAGUCCAUCCAGACUGUUCUAUCCAAAAAAGUUUCUUUUUCCCCCACAGGCAAUCAGGAAAUGAUUCCUUUCCCGACUGCUUCUGUCUAGUGCCUGGGAAUCUUGAGUCAAUCCCUCAGUAAGUCAGUGACUAGGGAAAUCCCUCUCUGAGCCUCCCAGUUCAUGUUGCUUAGGGAACCUGAUAUUUUCGUGAAACCUGCCUACACAUGGGCAGCCCAACAGCAGAACAAAUGGUGGUGACCAAAGUGAACAAAGAAGUAUAGUUGUGCCAGCUUCGUAGUUGCCCAUGUGGACAAGUCAGCAGGAUCAGGACACGAGGAAGAGUAAAUGUGAGACAGUCAAUGUGACUUCUGCGAUAAACAGAUUUUUAAACCCCGAAAUUUUGCAAAAUUUUGGUGAAACCUGAACUUUCUUCGUUGCAUAUACUGGCACUAUCUGUACCAUCAUACAACUGUCUCACAUUAAAGCUAUUUUUCUUGGGCACUGAUGAGUAAGGUUGGUAUAAGUUCCUCAGAUCAACAAAAACCCAUUUUCCUGUAAGUCUUACAUUUAGUAUUUAAGGAACUAAAACUUAAAUACAUUUUGUGAAAUGGUUGACACUUCACUGAUAAUGAUUUAUUGCUUGGAUUAAUAAAUUUUCCAAAAGUUGUCUUAUGUAGAAUAUGGUUUGCAACCAGCAGAACCAUUAAUCUAUACUGCAAUGAUAUGCACUAUGUAUAAUUGUUUAAAAGCCUCUACUUAAUGAUGUAAAAUGCUCUAUUUAAUUACACAUUUGGGUAAACUGUAUACUAACAUCUGAUGGCAUUUUUCCACUGUUUGUUGCUUUUUUCAAAUACUUUAUUGUACAAAGCUGUUCUUAAUAUUUUUCAAGUUUUUUUCUUUGAAUUUUGCUAAUGUUUUCCUUGAAUUAUGAGCACUGACAGAAUGUGCUUAGCACUUUUGGCUAUUCACACAGCUUUUGAGCAUGAUUUGCAUCCAAUAUUUACAUUGCUAGCAAUAAUAAGCCAUCUGUGAGUUUUGUCAAAAGUUAUUGGGGAUUUUUUAAAUUUUAGAAAUGCAAAUUAUUGUUUCUUUGAACUAACUCUUAUGCAGUUGCAAAGGCAUUUCCAGUUGUUAUAGUUUGUGUACAAUAUCAGGUGUUCCAGAUUAUGAUUCAUUAUUAAUAUCAUUGCUUCCUUGUUCCCUCUGAGGUCCAGAAGAUUCAUGUUUACAAUAUUUAGAAACAAUGUUAAAAAGGUAUCCAAAGUUUGUCACUUUAUUAUUAGUUUGUUCUUAAUAUUCUGUUUAAGUUUUUGAAUUCAUAGAUAUCAAAACGCUGCACAAUUAUGAUUUCCACAGGAAUAACAACACACUAACAAUAAGAACCAAAAACAGCAAAUAGGCUGCCUACAAGUUUUGACAAUAUUAGGAUAAUGAUAAUGACAGUUUUUCUAAAUCUCACAGUAAAGAAUGCAGCAACCCAGCAACACUGCUACCUGUGGCCUCAGGCUGCAGUGUCAGCUCUUCCCUGGGUCUCCAGCCUGCCAGUCUAACCUGAAAAUUAUGUACUUGCCAGCCCCCACAGUCACGUGAGUGAACUGGCCCAGGCUGGUCACCAGGGUCAGUUUCUCUGUGUGUCAUUAAUUCAUUCAGUCUUCAGCAGUCUCUUUGGAGCUGAGAUGUACCUACCAUCUGCCUUUUGGGUGCUUAGGGUGGAGAACCAGAAAAGUAUAACCUAGUGUGUAUCCUCAAAGAGCUAACAAUAUGGGGUGGUACCUAUAGGUCUGGAAACACUUUACUGACUCUGUGAGGCAUACCAGGAGACGUCAGAGAACAGUCCCUCCUCAAAUGCCAAAUGAGAUGCAGAAGAAAUAGUUUGCUCAAGUUCAUGGGCCAGAUAUCCCAGUGGUCAGGGAGUUUCAUGAAUGAGAUGGAACUUUGCAUGGAACCCGAGGGAUGUGUAUGAUUUGAGUAGAUGAAGAAAAUGAGACUUUCCAAGCAGCUAGAAGUUAGGGAGCAGCAAGAUGUGUGGUGGGAUUGAGCACAGUUGGUUCAGAGGAUAGACUGCAGUUUUAAUAAUUUGUAGUAAAUAUCUCCCAACUGUUUGGCACUAUUGGAGCAAGUUCUUGAAUGCCAAAUGAAGGCAUAAAUCAGUAAGAGGCAUAAUAAAAGGCUGAGCAGUGCUUGGCUUUUUACGAACUGAUCCUGAUAGGAGCAGCUGUUCAACAAAGUUGCCAGGUCACCGUUACAUAGUCCCUGCCUUCUAGGGGCUCACUGCCUACUGGGAGAGACAGUCUGAAAGUUGGUGGAGCAUGUAACUGUUGGAUGAGGAGUUUGAGCCUGUGGACUGUGGGACCCCCGAGGAGGGUGUGGCUACUCUAGGCAGAACAAUCCCACAGUUUAUUUAUAUUUAACCUUGAAAUUCAUUAGAGGAUUUUUCAGCAGAGGUUUGGUACUUGUUAAUGUUAAGGUUUGCAUUCUCUAGAACCUCAAGGAAAGCUGUACCGUGCAUAAUGUACCCUCUUAUGUUAAUGUUGUGUACUGUGAUCCUGUUUCAGGGACUUGCACUUAGGAAUCUGUUACAGUGAGCACAGAAGCAGACCUGUGGGCUCAUAGUCUUCACCCCCCACCCAUAUAUACAAGAUGAACAGAGUGGAGGUUAAACAACUUGACUAAACAACACAGUUCAUGGUAAAGCCCAAGACUGUACCUGCCCAUCCACUGCCUUUUCCAUGUAUCCUGGAACUGAGCAUAGACCUCUUCCCAGGCAGAGCUGACAGCAAGUAAAGGAGAUCAUAAUCAGGGGACCAAACAACUUUGUCUAAAGUGUGAAUGUCACCUAAGGAGAAGCUGUGAGAUCAGAAGGGUGGGGCAGAGGAGCAGACACCAUGAGGGAGAGUCCUUGGGGGUACAUCUGCCAGACUGACACUGUCUGGCCUGGGCAGUGGAGGGGCUAGCAGGAACCACAGGUACUGGUGGUGUGGCUACUACCGUUACAACUGCCUGUGCUUGGACAUGGACCCUCUGCAAUAUGCGGCAGUUUCAUUCAUUGCCCCCUACAUUCUACACCAAGUAGAAAUGGAAGGCAAUUGGAUACUUCACAGACAAGAUCUAAGUGGAGAAGGAAUGCGUCCUGUGGCUGCAGAGAUCCUUGGAGCUUGGAGGGGAGAGCUUGAGCCCCACUGAUGAUGACCUCCCACAGCUCGCCAACUCAGCCCUCCCUAAGUCCCCAUCGGGGGCCAAUUCUCACUCUGGGGUUGGGGGGACUCCACCAUAGCUCAUCCAUCAUAGGGAUGUUGGUAUCUACUGUGGGUUGGGUAGGGCCGAUGUGCUGAGGAUGGCUCCCCCACAAGCAAGAGAUGUGGAUUUGGGGAGCUUCCCAUCUUGUGUUGAAGGAACAUAACUCAGAAUAAUAAGAGCCAACUAUAACAAACCCACAGCCAACAUCAUACUGAAUGGGCAAAAGCUGCAGGCAUUCCCCUUGAAAAGUGGCACAGGAUAAGGAAGCCCUUUCUCACCACUCCUAUUCAAUAUAGUGUUGAAAGUCCUGAUCACAGCAGUCAGGCAACAGAAAUAAUAAAGGGCAUCCAAAUAGGAAGAGAGGAAGUCAAACUAUCCUUGUUUGCAGACAGUAUGAUUCUAUAUCUAGAAAACCCCAUAGCCUCAGCCCAAAAGGUCCUUCAUCUGAUAAUUUCAGCAAAGUUUCAGGAGACAAAAUCAGUGUACAAAAAUCACUAACAUUCCUAUACACAGUCGCCAAGCCAAGAGCCAAAUCAGGAGCACAAUCCCAUUCAUAAUUGCCACAAAAAAGAAUAAAAUACCCAGGAAUGCAGCUAACCAAGGAAGUAAAGGAUCUCUACAAUGAGAAUCACAAACGCUGCUCAAAGAAAUCAGAGAUGACACAAACAAAUGGAAAAACUUUCCAUGCUCAUGGCUAGGAAGAAUCAAUAUCAUUAAAGUGGCCAUACUACCCAAAGCAAUUUAUAGAUUCAAUGCUAUUCCUAUCAAACUAUCAAUUACAUUUUUCACAGAACUAGAAAAAACUUAAAAUUCAUAUGGAACCAAAAAGCCUGAGUAGUCAAGGCAAUCCUAAACAAAAAGAACAAAGGUGGAGGCAUCACAUUACCUAACUUCAAACUACAGGGCUACCAUGACCAAAACAGCAUGGUACUGGUACAAAAGCAGACACACAGACCAGUGGGACAGAAUAGAGAGCCCAAAAAUAAGGCCACAAACCUACAGCCAUCUGAUCUUCAACAAAGUUGACAAAAACAAGCAAUGGGGAAAGGUCUCCCUAUUCAAUAAAUGGUGCUGGGAUAACUGGCUGGCCAUAUGCAGAAGAUCGUAACUGGACCCCUUUUACUAUGUACAAAAAUUAAGAUGGUUUAAAGAGUUAAAACCCAAAAUUAUAAAAAUCCUGAAGAUAACUUAGGCAAUACCAUUCUGGACAUAGGAACUGGCAAAUAUUUCAUGAUGAAGACACCAAAAGCAAUUGUAACAAAAGCAAAAAUGGACAAAUUGGAUUUAAGAGCUUUUUCAUAGCAAAAUAAACAACAGGGCAGACAAUCUACCAAAUGACAGAAAAUUUUUGCAAACUAUGCAUCUGACAAGGGGCUAAUAUCUAGCAUCUAUAAGGAAUUUAAACACAGUUACAGGAAAAAAAAAACCCACUCCAUUAAAAAAUGGGCAAAGGACAUGAACAGACACUUUUCAAAAAAGACAUACAUACAGCCAACUAGCGUGUUAAAGAAAACCUCAAUUAUCACUGAUCAUUAGAGAAAUGCAAAAUCAAAACCAUGAUGAGAUAUCAUCUGCCAGUCAGGAUGGCUACAAAAAAGUAAAAAAAUAAUAGAUGUUGGUGAGGUUAUGGAGAAAAGGAACUUAUACACUUGUUAGGAGUGUAAAUUAGUUCAAUCACUGUGGACAGCAGUGUGGUGAUUCCUCAGAGAGCUAAAAACAACUACCAUUUGACUCACCAAUCCCAUUACUGGAUAUUUACCUAAAGGAAUAUAAAUCAUUCCACCAUAAAGACACAUGCAAGUGUAUGUUCAUUGCAGCACUAUUAACAGUAACAAAGCUGGGCACAGUGGCUCACCUCACGACUGUAAUCCCAGCACUUUGGGAGGCUGAGGUAGGCGGAUCACCUGAGGUCGGCAGUUUGAGACCAGCCUGACCAACAUGGAGAGACCCCAUCUCUACUAAAAAUACAAAAUUAGCCAGGUGUGGUGGCUCAUGCCUGUAAUCCCA
RNAcentral lists this long non-coding RNA (6491 nucleotides) under Homo sapiens (human). RNAcentral describes it as "HSALNT0333620". Lineage: Eukaryota; Metazoa; Chordata; Mammalia; Primates; Hominidae. The record is from RNAcentral.